ACGUAGGGUGCGAGCGUUAAUCGGAAUUACUGGGCGUAAAGCGUGCGCAGGCGGCGCUGUAAGACAGAUGUGAAAUCCCCGGGCUCAACCUGGGAACUGCAUUUGUGACUGCAGUGCUAGAGUGUGUCAGAGGGGGGUGGAAUUCCACGUGUAGCAGUGAAAUGCGUAGAGAUGUGGAGGAACACCGAUGGCGAAGGCAGCCCCCUGGGAUAACACUGACGCUCAGGCACGAAAGCGUGGGGAGCAAACAG
Molecule: ribosomal RNA, 251 nt
Filed under: uncultured prokaryote
Description: partial 16S ribosomal RNA
Rfam family: Bacterial small subunit ribosomal RNA
Source: RNAcentral